GACGAACGCUGGCGGCGUACCUAAUACAUGCAAGUUGAGCGAUGAAGAUUGGUGCUUGCACCAAUUUGAAGAGCAGCGAACGGGUGAGUAACGCGUGGGGAAUCUGCCUUUGAGCGGGGGACAACAUUUGGAAACGAAUGCUAAUACCGCAUAAUAACUUUAAACAUAAGUUUUAAGUUUGAAAGAUGCAAUUGCAUCACUCAAAGAUGAUCCCGCGUUGUAUUAGCUAGUUGGUGAGGUAAAGGCUCACCAAGGCGAUGAUACAUAGCCGACCUGAGAGGGUGAUCGGCCACAUUGGGACUGAGACACGGCCCAAACUCCUACGGGAGGCAGCAGUAGGGAAUCUUCGGCAAUGGACGAAAGUCUGACCGAGCAACGCCGCGUGAGUGAAGAAGGUUUUCGGAUCGUAAAACUCUGUUGGUAGAGAAGAACGUUGGUGAGAGUGGAAAGCUCAUCAAGUGACGGUAACUACCCAGAAAGGGACGGCUAACUACGUG
Molecule: ribosomal RNA, 497 nt
Filed under: uncultured bacterium
Lineage: Bacteria
Description: partial 16S ribosomal RNA
Rfam family: Bacterial small subunit ribosomal RNA
Source: RNAcentral